Molecule: non-coding RNA, 231 nt
Organism: Salmo salar (Atlantic salmon)
Lineage: Eukaryota; Metazoa; Chordata; Actinopteri; Salmoniformes; Salmonidae
Source: RefSeq, a predicted model, not a curated record
GUCACGAGUAUGAUCUGACCCUGAAUGCGGAAGCCAACUGCUCCCAGCACCACAAGUGGUUCUAUUUCGAGGUAUGGCAGCCAACGUGCCCUAUCGCUUCAACAUCAUCAACUGUGAGAAAGCCAACAGCCAGUUCAACUACGAGAUGCAGCCGGUGCUGUACUCUGUCAGAGAGGCAAUGGAGGGACGACUCAACUGGAUCAGAACUGCGACUGAGAUCUGCUUCUACAG